This is a long non-coding RNA of Halichondria panicea, 628 nucleotides long. RefSeq lists it as uncharacterized. The transcript is spliced from 3 exons. NCBI's taxonomy places the organism in Eukaryota, Metazoa, Porifera, Demospongiae, Suberitida, Halichondriidae. The record is from RefSeq and is a predicted model, not a curated record.
CAUAAACCAGCAUAAUUCUCACCCCAAAAAUGUGCCUAUAUAUAUUAUACUGUAAUUUAUCGGACACUUCACGUGCUCUAUAUCAGAUCUGUUCCAAUUAUACCUGGACAAUUUUCUAACCAGUUUCAUUCUUGUGCUUGGAGAGCUGAGUGGUGUGAGUGGGUGUGGUGACCGAGUGUCCUCCCUCCUCCCCCUCUGUGCUGAGACACUACAACACAGACACUACCCUCAACACAUCAACCUCCUGGAGACACUGCUUAAACUGUUGCCAGUGUUUGCCAAGUCGCUGGGUAAGAGAGUGUUCAAGAGACACGUCGAUCUAUUCCUGAACUCUAUCCUGGAGUGCCUAUACAGAGCAGUGACAAUGCCUGGUACAGCCUGCUGGAGUGGACUAGCUGUCUCACCUCACCCUGUAACAACACAAUCCAACGUGAAUCUUUGCGUAAUGGCAGACUGUCUACAUGUGUGUAGCUUAUACAAGUACAUUGCAAUUGCUUAUUUUUCUUAUGUAAUGAUGCACUUCCUUUUCACUGUAUAUAGGUGGUUGACAGAACAGUAACUGAACAAUGUGUACUCGUUUCUUUGUUGAUAUUAUUAAUGAAUGUGCUAUAAUUAUUAUUGUCAAACA